Molecule: ribosomal RNA, 497 nt
Filed under: uncultured bacterium
Lineage: Bacteria
Description: partial 16S ribosomal RNA
Rfam family: Bacterial small subunit ribosomal RNA
Source: RNAcentral
GAUGAACGCUGGCGGCGUGCCUAAUACAUGCAAGUCGAGCGAACAGACGAGGAGCUUGCUCCUCUGACGUUAGCGGCGGACGGGUGAGUAACACGUGGAUGACCUACCUAUAAGACUGGGAUAACUUCGGGAAACCGGAGCUAAUACCGGAUAAUAUAUUGAACCUCAUUGUUCAAUAGUGAAAGACGGUUUUGCUGUCUCUUAUAGAUGGAUCCGCGCCGCAUUAGCUAGUUGGUAAGGUAACGGCUUACCAAGGCAACGAUGCGUAGCCGACCUGAGAGGGUGAUCGGCCACACUGGAACGGAGACACGGUCCAGACUCCUACGGGAGGCAGCAGUAGGGAAUCUUCCGCAAUGGGCGAAAGCCGGACGGAGCAACGCCGCUUGAGUGAUGAAGGUCUUCGGAUCGUAAAACUCUGUUAUUAGGGAAGAACAAAUGUGUAAGUAACUAUGCACGUCUUGACGGUACCUAAUCAGAAAGCCACGGCUAACUACGUG